GUGAAUCAUCAAAUUUUUGAACGCAAAUUGCACUCUCCUCGGAGAGUAUGCCUGUUUGAGGGUCGUUAGAAUAAAAAUCGAAGCAUCGCUCUUUUUUUGAGGGUGAUCGCGUCGGAAUUGAGCCGUCUUUCAAAUGUUAAUUCAUGUCAAAGUGGCUUAAAAUUCAUCCAUCCGGUACGAUUAAAGCGUAUUUAAGAUCAAUUUUGAUUAAGGACGCGCGAUGACGUACUAUCUCAUGUAGUACGUUUGACCUGGGUUAUCAGGUUCAUUCGUAUAGGAUACUCAAACUGUUGACCUCAAA
Molecule: unclassified non-coding RNA, 301 nt
Filed under: Funneliformis mosseae
Lineage: Eukaryota; Fungi; Glomeromycota; Glomeromycetes; Glomerales; Glomeraceae
Description: partial contains 5.8S ribosomal RNA and internal transcribed spacer 2
Rfam family: 5.8S ribosomal RNA (bases 1-65)
Source: RNAcentral